This 386-nucleotide ribosomal RNA is filed under the name uncultured bacterium. Its description in RNAcentral is "bacterial SSU rRNA". It matches the Rfam family "Bacterial small subunit ribosomal RNA", at positions 28 to 417 of the family's 1533-position model. The record is from RNAcentral.
GACGAACGCUGGCGGCGUGCUUAACACAUGCAAGUCGAGCGGUAAGGCCCUUUCGGGGGUACACGAGCGGCGAACGGGUGAGUAACACGUGGGUGACCUGCCCUCAGCUCUGGGAUAAGCCUGGGAAACCGGGUCUAAUACCGGAUAUGACUCCAUGACGCAUGUUGUGGGGUGAAAGCCUUGUGCGGCUGAGGAUGGGCCCGCGGCCUAUCAGCUUGUUGGUGGGGUGAGGCCUACCAAGGCGACGACGGGUAGCCGGCCUGAGAGGGCGACCGGCCACACUGGGACUGAGACACGGCCCAGACUCCUACGGGAGGCAGCAGUGGGGAAUCUUGCGCAAUGGGCGAAAGCCUGACGCAGCGACGCCGCGUGAGGGAUGACGGCCU